GGAAAAGUUGCUAUAGGCAAGGCGAGAUAUUUGCUAAAUAUUGUGUAAUAACACUUAGAUGUUCGAAUCAUCUCUUUUCCG
RNAcentral lists this transfer RNA (81 nucleotides) under Arthroderma uncinatum. RNAcentral describes it as "tRNA-Ser". RNAcentral also lists the same sequence under 2 other names. The record is from RNAcentral. Lineage: Eukaryota; Fungi; Ascomycota; Eurotiomycetes; Onygenales; Arthrodermataceae.